This 73-nucleotide transfer RNA is filed under the name Phyllomys lundi (Lund's Atlantic tree-rat). RNAcentral's name for it is "tRNA-Asn". It matches the Rfam family "tRNA". Rfam says of the family: Transfer RNA (tRNA) molecules are approximately 80 nucleotides in length. Their secondary structure includes four short double-helical elements and three loops (D, anti-codon, and T loops). Further hydrogen bonds mediate the characteristic L-shaped molecular structure. tRNAs have two regions of fundamental functional importance: the anti-codon, which is responsible for specific mRNA codon recognition, and the 3' end, to which the tRNAs corresponding amino acid is attached (by aminoacyl-tRNA synthetases). tRNAs cope with the degeneracy of the genetic code in two manners: having more than one tRNA (with a specific anti-codon) for a particular amino acid; and 'wobble' base-pairing, i.e. permitting non-standard base-pairing at the 3rd anti-codon position. The record is from RNAcentral. Lineage: Eukaryota; Metazoa; Chordata; Mammalia; Rodentia; Echimyidae.
UAGGUUGAAGCCAGUUGUUUAGGGUAUUUAGCUGUUAACUAAAAGUUCAUGGGUUUGUAUCCCAUCAGCCUAG